This 70-nucleotide transfer RNA is filed under the name Sander vitreus (walleye). RNAcentral describes it as "tRNA-Gly". It matches the Rfam family "tRNA". Rfam says of the family: Transfer RNA (tRNA) molecules are approximately 80 nucleotides in length. Their secondary structure includes four short double-helical elements and three loops (D, anti-codon, and T loops). Further hydrogen bonds mediate the characteristic L-shaped molecular structure. tRNAs have two regions of fundamental functional importance: the anti-codon, which is responsible for specific mRNA codon recognition, and the 3' end, to which the tRNAs corresponding amino acid is attached (by aminoacyl-tRNA synthetases). tRNAs cope with the degeneracy of the genetic code in two manners: having more than one tRNA (with a specific anti-codon) for a particular amino acid; and 'wobble' base-pairing, i.e. permitting non-standard base-pairing at the 3rd anti-codon position. Lineage: Eukaryota; Metazoa; Chordata; Actinopteri; Perciformes; Percidae. The record is from RNAcentral.
GUCUUUCUAGUAUUAGGCAGUAUAAGUGACUUCCAAUCACCCGGUCUUGGUUAAAGUCCAAGGAAAGAUA